RNAcentral lists this ribosomal RNA (1048 nucleotides) under uncultured organism. RNAcentral's name for it is "bacterial SSU rRNA". It matches the Rfam family "Bacterial small subunit ribosomal RNA", at positions 24 to 1065 of the family's 1533-position model. The record is from RNAcentral.
UCAGAUUGAACGCUGGCGGCGUGCCUAACACAUGCAAGUCGAGCGAGAAAGUCUACUUCGGUAGAUGAGUAAAGCGGCGCACGGGUGAGUAACGCGUGGAUUAUCUACCUCCGGGAACGGGAUACCAGUGGGAAACCGCUGCUAAUACCGUAUACGCUGGUAACGGGAAAGGGUGCCUCUUCUAUGCAUCUGCCCGGAGAUGAGUCCGCGUCCCAUUAGCUAGUUGGCGGGGGUAAUGGCCCACCAAUGCUACGAUGGGUAGCUGGUUUGAGAGGAUGAUCAGCCACACUGGGACUGAAACACGGCCCAGACUCCUACGGGAGGCAGCAGUGGGGAAUAUUGCGCAAUGGGGGAAACCCUGACGCAGCGACGCCGCGUGGAGGAAGAAGGCUUUCGGGUCGUAAACUCCUGUCAAGAGGGAAGAAGUGUAUGUAGGUUAAUAGCCUAUGUAUCUGACGGUACCUCUAGAGGAAGCACCGGCUAAUUCCGUGCCAGCAGCCGCGGUAAUACGGAAGGUGCAAGCGUUAAUCGGAAUCACUGGGCGUAAAGCGCGCGUAGGCGGCCUUGUAAGUCGGAUGUGAAAGCCCACGGCUCAACCGUGGAACUGCAUUCGAAACUGCUUGGCUUGAGUCUUGGAGAGGGUGGCGGAAUUCCAGGUGUAGGAGUGAAAUCCGUAGAUAUCUGGAGGAACACCAGUGGCGAAGGCGGCCACCUGGACAAUGACUGACGCUGAGGUGCGAAAGCGUGGGUAGCAAACAGGAUUAGAUACCCUGGUAGUCCACGCCGUAAACGAUGGAUGCUAGGUGUCUGCCCGUUGGGGUAGGUGCCGUAGUUAACGCGUUAAGCAUCCCGCCUGGGGAGUACGGUCGCAAGGCUGAAACUCAAAGAAAUUGACGGGGGCCCGCACAAGCGGUGGAGUAUGUGGUUUAAUUCGAUGCAACGCGAAGAACCUUACCUGGACUUGACAUCCCGCGAAUCCUCUAGAGAUAGAGGUGUGCCCUUCGGGGAGCGCGGUGACAGGUGCUGCAUGGCUGUCGUCAGCUCGUGC